Non-coding RNA from Microcebus murinus (gray mouse lemur), 1135 nucleotides. Lineage: Eukaryota; Metazoa; Chordata; Mammalia; Primates; Cheirogaleidae. The record is from RefSeq and is a predicted model, not a curated record.
AAAAAAAAAAAAAGAUACUCCUUUUACCUUCUCUGGCCAGCCCAGCAAAGAAGAGAUUUCCGUUUUCAGAACCCCAAAAGUGCUUACACUCUCUAAAAUUUCUAGGGAAACGGCUCCAACAGCUCUCUUCAGGAACACAGACCAGUGUUUUACAGCUCUUCUGCCGGGAAAGUUUUUCUUGACCUCUCACCCUCAUCCCUCCUGCUGCCAUGUAAACUUCUUCUUUGCUGAUUUGGAGAACAUUCUCUUGCCACCUGAUUCCUGAAAUCAAAUCUAUCCUCGAAAUAUUAAAGGCUUACCAUCUUUGAGCAGAUUCACAGCAAGGAAAGCAAGGAAUACAAAACUGCAAAAGAAAAAAAAACAAAAAACAAAACAACAACCAAGACAGUGGCAAUAUCACUGGAAUAAGUGAGGAAUCUCCCCAAGAACCGCCUUGCAAAGGACAACAUGAACUUGGAUACAUAAACUCUGGGAUGCUUCUUAAAAAGAUUACCUCCCUAGCUUAUGUCACUCUUUGUACAGGUAUGUGUCAUUCAGAAACCUAGGGGACGUCAAGUAUGGUUUGUGCCUAUAAGGAGCUUAUAUUCUUAGAGAAGAUACAUGAAUACACAAAGACUUUCAUGAGAAAUCUUUGCUAGAAUUGUGCUGAUAUUUGAGAAAGCCUCCAAACUCAUGAGUCAUCAUAGCAUGUGGUUAAGAUUAUGCCAUUUGGAGCCAACAGAUGCAGUUUAUGUCCCGGCUCUGUUGCCCAGCUGGGAUACCACCGGUGGUUAUUUAAAGUCUCCGGAGCUUAAGUUACUUGCCUGUAUAAUGGGAGGAUGGUGUUUACUCCACGAGGCUGCUUUAAAGAUGAAUGUGGACCAUGGCACACAGCUCUUCUGAUUUCAAAGAAAAUAUCUACAAACAUUUGGAUUAUUAUUUUUUUCCCCCAGCAAAUGGAGGGCUAAGGAAUAAAUUGCUGCCUUCAAACUUUUGGACUUAGAUUACAGACUGGGGUUUAAGAUGUUCUCGGGUUCCUGUGAAGAGAAUAGUAAAAAAGACCUGGCAUUUCUUUGCUAUAAAAAAAAUGCUAGGACCAGAUCUCACGAAGAACUUCCUCUGCAGAUGGUUAGGCAGAGCAACAGACGAACAGAGA